GCACCCACUGAAGCUCCACAUCAGCACCCAUCGCAGCCCCACAUCAGCACCAAUCACAGCCCCACACUGGCACCCAUCACAGCCCCACAUCAGCACCCAUCGCAGCCCCACGUGGGCCCCCCACCCCAUCUCCAAGAGGUCAGCUGUGCCCCUUAAUGCCAUGGGAUGCCUGGGGUGCCCCCACAACCCCCACCGUACCCCCAAAAGACCCCCACCCUCCCCCUGCGCCCCCACCCUCGCCCUGCACCCAUCCCCGUGCGCAGAUCCACUCCCUCCCUGCUGGCAGCGCUGGGUGCUGAUAGGGACGCGGUGCAAUUCCUGCCCCCGUGCACAGAAUGGGGCCGAGGGCUGCAGCAGAGCAGCACCCAAAGCCAGUGGAGAUGCGGGCAACGAUAGACAGCGGUGUGCCUUGCAAUUAACAGCCCAGCCUGACGAGCAGCCCUGUGACGGAGCAUCCCUGUGACGGAGCAUCCCGGCCCCAUUCCAAUGCCAUUCCCAUUUCCAUCCCAUCCCUAUUCCCAUCACACUCCCAUUUCCAUCCCAUCCCCAUUUCCAUCCCAUUCCCACUCCCAUUUCCAUCCCAUCCCCAUUUUCACCCCACUCCCAUUCCCAUCCCAUCCCCAUUCCCAUCCCAUUCUCAUUUCCAUCCCAUUCCCACUCCAAUUCCAGUCCCAUUUCCAUCCCAUCCCCAUUUCCAUCCCAUUCCCAUUCCCAUCUCCACCCCAGUCCCAUUCCCAUCCCAGUCCAAUUCCCAUCCCCAUUUCCAUCUCAGUCCCAUCUCCAUCCCAUUCCCAUUCCCAUCCCAAUGCCAUUUCCAUCCCAUUCCAACUCCAAUCCCAUUCCCAAUCCCAUCCAAGUCCAAUUCCCAUCCCCAUCCCCAUUUCCACCCCACUCCCAUUCCCAUCCCAUCCCAUCCCCAUUCCCAUUUCCAUCCCAUUCCCAUUUCCAUCCCAUUCCCAUCCCAGUCCAAUUCCCAUCCCACUCCCAUUUCCAUCCCAUUCCCACGCCAAUCCCAUUCCCAUGCCAUCCCCAUUCCCACUCCCACCCCAAUCCCAUUCCUAUCCCCCUCCCAUUUCCACCCCUUUCCCGUUUCCACCUCAGUCCCAUUUCCAUCCCAGUGGAAUGGGGUGGGAAUGGGAAUGGGGUGGGAAUGGGAUGGGAUCAGGACUGGGAUCGGGAUCAGAUGGGGAUGGAGAUGGGGAUGAGGAUAUGGGAUGGGGAUGGGAUGGGGAUAUGGGAUGGAUGGGAUGGGAUGGGACGGGGUGGGGAUAUAGGAUGGAUUGGAUGGGAUGGGAUGGGGAU
RNAcentral lists this long non-coding RNA (1302 nucleotides) under Phasianus colchicus (ring-necked pheasant). Its description in RNAcentral is "lncRNA (ENSPCLG00000017256.1)". Lineage: Eukaryota; Metazoa; Chordata; Aves; Galliformes; Phasianidae. The record is from RNAcentral.